This 370-nucleotide ribosomal RNA is filed under the name uncultured Geobacillus sp. RNAcentral describes it as "bacterial SSU rRNA". It matches the Rfam family "Bacterial small subunit ribosomal RNA", at positions 1012 to 1382 of the family's 1533-position model. Lineage: Bacteria; Bacillati; Bacillota; Bacilli; Caryophanales; Anoxybacillaceae. The record is from RNAcentral.
GUUCCCCGUUCGGGGGACAGGGUGACUAGGUGGUGCAUGGUUGUCGUCAGCUCGUGUCGUGAGAUGUUGGGUUAAGUCCCGCAACGAGCGCAACUCUCGCCUCUAGUUGCCAGCAUUCGGUUGGGCACUCUAGAGGGACUGCCGGCGACAAGUCGGAGAAGUGGGGAUGACGUCAAAUCAUCAUGCCCCUUAUGACCUGGGCUACACACGUGCUACAAUGGGCGGUACAAAGGGCUGCGAACCCGCGAGGGGGAGCGAAUCCCAAAAAGCCGCUCUCAGUUCGGAUUGCAGGCUGCAACUCGCCUGCAUGAAGCCGGAAUCGCUAGUAAUCGCGGAUCAGCAUGCCGCGGUGAAUACGUUCCCGGGCCUU